AUUCACAACAUUCCUCCCCCGCCUCUCUUGGGCUGGACUGCGCGCCCCAGGCUUCUGGGGCUGCGCCCACACACGGCUUUGUUUACUGAGGGUCGCUUCCGGGCGCCGCGAGGGGACAAUCAACAUAGCCCGGCCGGUGAGCGAGACAGAGCAGCGGGAUCCCUUGGCAGUGGCUCAGCCCCUCGUCCCUCCCAGCUGUGCGACCCGAGAAACUCACUCAACCUCUCUGGGCACCGGGUCAAGUUUUGGUUCUUGUGGGGGCGGAGGGGUCGCAGGCUCACUGAGGGAGCUCAUGCGGGCCGCGGACCCCCUCUCCAGAAACAAAGCUCGGUUAGGGGGUUCAUAGGUCAUCCCUUGAGCCUCAAAACUAGUAUAGUACCCCGCCCCUCCUUUCCAUGCCCUAGAUACUAUCUUGGGUCAUAUGAAAUUGCUAAUUUUUUUUUACCAUUUUUGGCCUGUUAAAAUGGCAAUUCCAUGAGGUUCACCCUAACACUUAAUCAAACCCCAGCACCUCUGAGCAUUUUUUCUGACUCAGCUUGUGUAGGCCACCGUCUCUGGCCUGGAAGCUGGCCAUGGCUUCCAUCACCCGUUCCCGUCCCGGCUCCUUGCCAAUGUCCUCAGAGGACCCUGCAUUUUUCCUUCCUCAUACUUCUCACCAUUACCAUUUAUUUAUCUGUUUCGGCGGUUUUUUUUUUUUUUUUUUUUUUUUUUUUUACGGAGUUUCACUCUUGUCGUCCAGGCUGGGGUGCAGUGGUGCGAUCUCGGCUCACUGCAACCUGCGCCUCCCGGGGUCAAGUGAUUCUCCUGCCUCAGCCUCCCGAAUAGCUGAAAUUAUAGGCGCCCACCACCACGCCCGGCUAAUUUUUGUAUUUUUGGUAGAGACGGAGUUUUGCCAUGUUGGCCAGGCUGGUCUUGAACUCCUGACCUCAAGUGAUCCACCUUUGGUAGUUGCUUAAUUUCAAUCUCUCCCUCUCCACUGUGAGCCUCAGGAGGCAGGAGUUUGUCCCAUCUGUGCUUUACUGUACCGGCAGCACCUGGAAGGUAGGCGCUUAACCUAGAACUUGUUGAAUGUACCAACCAACACAUGCUUUGCCUCCAUUCAGUUAAAUGAUAGGCACAGCAGAAAAAAAAAAAAAACAGUGAUUAUCCACUCAUCCAUAUGGAAGCCCUAGCUUUUUCUUGGAGAAACUUCGAGUCUCACAGCUGCACCCUCUGGCCAGUCUUCACCCACUCUCCCUGCCACCCCCUCAAUUAGUUAAACUCCCCUGCAGACCUGCACUGUCCAGUAUGGUCACCAAUGGCCACAAGUGGUCUCUGAGCCCUUGAAAUGGGACUGGCUGAAAUUAGGUUGUGCUGGAAAGGUAAAAUACAGAGUGGAUUUUGGAGACAUAGCAGGAAGGGAACAAGGAAAAAUAUUUCUUUUUUUUUUUUUGAGAUGGAGUGAUCUCAGCUCACUGCAACCUCUGCCUCCCAGGUUCACGUGAUUAUUCUGCCUCAGCCUCCCAAGUAGCUGGGGCUACAGGCACCCACCGCCACGCCUGACUAACUUUUGCAUUUUUAGUAGAGACGGGGUUUCACCAUAUUGGCAGGCUGGUCUCAAACUCCUGACCUUAUGAUCUGCCUGCCUUGGCCUCCCAAAGUGCUGGGAUUCCAGGCGUGAGCCACCACGCCCGGCCUAAAAUAUUUCAUUAAGAAUGUUUUCCAUCCUGGCUAACACAGUGAAACCCCUUCUCUACUAAAAAUACAAAAAAUUAGCCGGGCAUGGUGGCAGGCGCCUAUAGUCCCAGCUACUAGGGAGGCUAGGGCAGGAGAAUGGUGGGAACCCAGGAGGCAGAGGUUGCAGUGAGCCAAGAUUGCGCCACUGCACUCCAGCCUGGGGGACAGAGUGAGACUCCAAAAAAAAAAAAAAAAGAAUGUUUUGGCCAGGCGCGGUGGUUCACGCCUGGAAUCCCAGCACUUUGGGAUGGUGAGGUGGGAAGAUCACUUGAGCCCAGGAGUUUGAGACCAGCAUGGGCAACAUGGCGAAAACCCAUCUCUAUUAAAAAAUAAGAAAAUCAGCUGGGCGUGGUGGCACAAGCCAGUAGUCCCAGCUACUCUGGAGGCUGUGACAGGAGGAUCUCUCGAGCCCAAGAGGUUCAGGCUACAGUGAGAUAUGAUUGUAUCACUGUGCUCCAGCCGGAGUGACAGUGUGACCGUCUCAGGAAAACAAACAAACAAACAAAAAAACAGAAAACGAGGCCGGGCAAGGUGUCUCACACCUGUAAUCCCAGCACUUUCGAAGACUGAGACAGGCGGAUCACCUGAGGUCUGGAGUUCAAGACCAGCCUGGCCAACAUGGUGAAACCCCGUCUCUACUAAAAAUACAAAAAUUAGGGCCGGGCACAGUGGCUCACGCCUGUAAUCCCAGCACUUCGGGAGGCCGAGGCGGGCGGAUCAUGAGGUCAGGAGAUGCAGACCAUCCUGGUUAACACGGUGAAACCCCGUCUUUAUUAAAAAUACAAAAAAAUUAGCCUGGCGUGGGGGCGGGCACCUGUAGUCCCAGCUACUCCGGAGGCUGAGGCAGGAGAAUGGCGUGAACCCGGGAGGUGGAGCUUGCAGUGAGCUGAGAUCGCGCCACUGCACUCCAGCCUGGGCAAUAGAGCAAGACUCCGCCUCAAAAAACAAAACAAAACAAAACAAAACAAAAAUCAGCUGGGCGUGGUGGCGGGCGCCUGUAAUCCCAGCUGCUUGCGAGGCUGAGGCAGGAGAAUCACUUGAACCCAGGAGGCGGAGUUUGCAGUGAGCCAAGAUUGCACCACGGCACUCCAGCCUGGGCAACAAAGUGAGACUCUGUCUCAAAAAAAAAAAAAAAAAGACAGAACAAAAGAAAGCAAAUGUUUAGUGUUGUUAACAUGUUGAAAUUAUAUUUUAGAUAAACUUGGUUUAAUAAAAUACAUUAUUAAAAUUGAUUUCAUAUAUUUUCUUUUACAUGGUUUCAGGACAUUUAAAUUACGUAUGUAGGCUGGGUACAGUGGCUCAGGGCUGUAAUCCCAGCACUUUGGAAGGCCGAGGCGGGCAGAUCAUCUGAGGUCAGGAGUUUAAGAC
This 3084-nucleotide long non-coding RNA is filed under the name Homo sapiens (human). RNAcentral's name for it is "non-protein coding lnc-C19orf57-8:1". The record is from RNAcentral. Lineage: Eukaryota; Metazoa; Chordata; Mammalia; Primates; Hominidae.